CCUACGGGAGGCUGCAGUGGGGAAUAUUGGACAAUGGGCGAAAGCCUGAUCCAGCCAUGCCGCGUGUGUGAAGAAGGCCUUCGGGUUGUAAAGCACUUUCAGUGGGGAAGAAAGCCUUGGGGCUAAUACCCUCGAGGAAGGACAUCACCCACAGAAGAAGCACCGGCUAACUCCGUGUCAGCAGCCGCGGUAAUACGGAGGGUGCGAGCGUUAAUCGGAAUUACUGGGCGUAAAGCGCGCGUAGGCGGUCUGAUAAGCCGGUUGUGAAAGCCCCGGGCUCAACCUGGGAACGGCAUCCGGAACUGUCAGGCUAGAGUGCAGGAGAGGAAGGUAGAAUUCCCGGUGUAGCGGUGAAAUGCGUAGAGAUCGGGAGGAAUACCAGUGGCGAAGGCGGCCUUCUGGACUGACACUGACGCUGAGGUGCGAAAGCGUGGGUAGCAAACAGGAUUAGAUACCCCAGUAGUC
RNAcentral lists this ribosomal RNA (465 nucleotides) under Vreelandella stevensii. RNAcentral's name for it is "partial 16S ribosomal RNA". It matches the Rfam family "Bacterial small subunit ribosomal RNA", at positions 338 to 795 of the family's 1533-position model. Lineage: Bacteria; Pseudomonadati; Pseudomonadota; Gammaproteobacteria; Oceanospirillales; Halomonadaceae. The record is from RNAcentral.